This 375-nucleotide ribosomal RNA is filed under the name uncultured fungus. Its description in RNAcentral is "SSU rRNA". It matches the Rfam family "Eukaryotic small subunit ribosomal RNA", at positions 288 to 653 of the family's 1831-position model. The record is from RNAcentral. Lineage: Eukaryota; Fungi.
CGAUGCUUCAUUCAAAUAUCUGCCCUAUCAACUUUCGAUGGUAGGAUAGAGGCUACCAUGGUUUCAACGGGUACGGGGAAUAAGGGUUCGAUUCCGGAGAGGGAGCCUGAGAAACGGUACCACAUACCAAGGCAAGGCAGCAGGCGCGCAAAUUUACCCAAUCCCGACACGGGGAGGUAGUGACAAUAAAUAACAAUAUAGGGCUCUUACGGGUCUUAUGAUUGGACAUGAGUACAAUUUAAAUCUCUUACCGAGGAACAAUUGGAGGGCAAGUCUGGUGCCAAGCAGCCGCGGUAAUUCCAAGCUCCCAAUAGCGUAUAUUUCAAAGUUGUAGCAGUUAAAAGGAGCUCAGUAGUUGAACUUCAGACCUGGUCG